RNA transcript from Oreochromis aureus, 1025 nucleotides. It is a transcript of the gene named B-cell receptor CD22-like, with no coding region annotated. The annotation marks the transcript as partial. The transcript has 4 exons. Lineage: Eukaryota; Metazoa; Chordata; Actinopteri; Cichliformes; Cichlidae. The record is from RefSeq and is a predicted model, not a curated record.
GAAAGGGGAAGGUGCUCAAGCCGCCCCUCGCACGUGCCUGGUGUAGCUGAGAAGGCAGAGCAGGUUAUCUAGUAUUUGGAAGGUUGGCAUGCAGACUGGAGCCAAUUUACACACCAAAUAUCCUCGGAUUCACCUAAAAACAUCACAGUUUCAGUCAGUCCUUCUGGUCCAGUACCGGAGAACAGCAAUGUGAGUCUGACCUGUAGCAGUAAUGCCAACCCAGCAGUGAGGAACUACACCUGGUACAGAGCUGAUGGAGAGCGGGAGACGUUUAUUGGAACAGGAACCAGUUUGAAGAUUCAAGUCUUCAGAGACAGACGGUCAUUUUUCUGUAACGCUGAAAAUGAGAUUGGAGUUGGACGUUCCAGCAGCAUUCAAAUUGAUGUUCAGUAUUCACCUAAAAACAUCACCGUUUCAGUCAGUCCUUCUGGUCCAGUACCAGAGAACAGCAAUGUGACUCUGACCUGCAGCAGUAAUGCCAACCCAGCAGUGAGGAACUACACCUGGUACAGAGCUGAUGGAGACCAGGAGACUUUAAUUGGAACAGGAGCCAGUUUAAACAUUCAAGUCUUCAGAGACAGACGGACAUUUUUCUGCAACGCUGAAAAUGAGAUUGGAGUCGAACGUUCUAAUCUGACUCAGCUUGAGAUUCAUUUUCUUCCACAGAUCCUGUUUUCAUCAGAUUGUGUUAAAACUGCAAGUCAGGUUAACUGUUCCUGUGACACUGAGGGAAACCCUUCCCCUGCUGUACAGUGGCAUUUGAAUGGGGAACCUGUCAAUCACUCUGGUGAAUUUGAAAUAUUCAGUGAGACUCUAAACAUCACAGUUCACAGGAGCUCCUUCAUUCUGAGUCAACCACAAGUGAAGCAUUUUUCCACCCUGCUCUGCCGUAGCUUCAACUCGCUGGGAUCUGCCAGUCAACAAUUUUGUAUGAGCAAGUUUAAAAGCUCUGCAGAACCUCAAGGCUUGUAUUUGGUGCAAUUGUAAAUACUCUUGUUUAACCCACAUACAUAAUGCAGUGGAGA